Molecule: non-coding RNA, 339 nt
Organism: Vicia faba (fava bean)
Lineage: Eukaryota; Viridiplantae; Streptophyta; Magnoliopsida; Fabales; Fabaceae
Source: the annotation of a GenBank genome assembly
AUGCAUGCAAUGUUAUUUUGCACAAUCAACAACUUUCAUGCAUAUGGUAAUUUGGCUAGAUACACUGUCAAAGGACAUAAAGCGUGUACUAUAUGUGAAUCCAUUACUUGUUUUCACCAGCCUAAGUUUGCAUCGGGCUAUUUUGUUUGGGAACACGUGACCAAAACACACCAUAAUUUAUAUUGCAUUUACAUCAAAUUUCAUCUGCAAAAUUUAAUCAAUGCUUCACAUUCAUUCUUCACAAGGAUUACGAAAUGUUCACACAGAUCCUGCUUCUUUUCCCUCCCAAUAUCAAUAACACUCCAAUUUCAUCCUAAUUCCCUCUCAACUCUACUAUAA